GAUGAACGCUAGCUACAGGCUUAACACAUGCAAGUCGAGGGGAAACGGCAUUGAGUGCUUGCACUCUUUGGACGUCGACCGGCGCACGGGUGAGUAACGCGUAUCCAACCUUCCCAUUACUGUGGGAUAACCUGCCGAAAGGCAGACUAAUACCGCAUAGUCUUCGAUGACGGCAUCAGAUUUGAAGUAAAGAUUUAUCGGUAAUGGAUGGGGAUGCGUCUGAUUAGCUUGUUGGCGGGGUAACGGCCCACCAAGGCUACGAUCAGUAGGGGUUCUGAGAGGAAGGUCCCCCACAUUGGAACUGAGACACGGUCCAAACUCCUACGAGAGGCAGCAGUGAGGAAUAUUAGUCAAUGGACGGAAGUCUGAACCAGCCGAGUAGCGUGUAGGAUGACGGCCCUAUGGGUUGUAAACUGCUUUUGUAUGGGGAUAGAGUUAGGGACGUGUCCCUAUUUGCAGGUACCAUACGAAUAAGGACCGGCUAAUUCCGUG
RNAcentral lists this ribosomal RNA (492 nucleotides) under uncultured bacterium. RNAcentral describes it as "partial 16S ribosomal RNA". It matches the Rfam family "Bacterial small subunit ribosomal RNA", at positions 28 to 507 of the family's 1533-position model. The record is from RNAcentral.